This 110-nucleotide small nuclear RNA is filed under the name Rattus norvegicus (Norway rat). The record is from RNAcentral. Lineage: Eukaryota; Metazoa; Chordata; Mammalia; Rodentia; Muridae.
GUGCUUGCUUGCUUUGGCUGCACAAACACUAAAACCGGAACAGUAGAGCAGAGAUGACACGGCCCUUGCUUAAGAACGACACACAAAUUUUCAAAGUGUUCUACAUUUCU